Molecule: ribosomal RNA, 450 nt
Filed under: uncultured bacterium
Lineage: Bacteria
Description: partial 16S ribosomal RNA
Rfam family: Bacterial small subunit ribosomal RNA
Source: RNAcentral
GUGGGGAAUCUUCCGCAAUGGACGAAAGUCUGACGGAGCAACGCCGCGUGAGUGAUGAAGGUCUUCGGAUUGUAAAGCUCUGUUAAUCGGGACGAAAGAGCCUAGUGUGAAUAAUGCUAGGAAGUGACGGUACCGGAAUAGAAAGCCACGGCUAACUACGUGCCAGCAGCCGCGGUAAUACGUAGGUGGCAAGCGUUGUCCGGAAUUAUUGGGCGUAAAGCGCGCGCAGGCGGAUCUGCCAGUCUGUCUUAAAAGGUCGGGGCUUAACCCCGUGAUGGGAUGGAAACUACAGAUCUAGAGUAUCGGAGAGGAAAGUGGAAUUCCUAGUGUAGCGGUGAAAUGCGUAGAUAUUAGGAAGAACACCAGUGGCGAAGGCGACUUUCUGGACGAAAACUGACGCUGAGGCGCGAAAGCCAGGGGAGCGAACGGGAUUAGAUACCCGGGUAGUCC